RNAcentral lists this ribosomal RNA (429 nucleotides) under Chloroflexota bacterium. RNAcentral describes it as "Chloroflexi bacterium partial 16S ribosomal RNA". It matches the Rfam family "Bacterial small subunit ribosomal RNA", at positions 355 to 776 of the family's 1533-position model. Lineage: Bacteria; Bacillati; Chloroflexota. The record is from RNAcentral.
UGGGGAAUAUUGCACAAUGGGCGCAAGCCUGAUGCAGCCAUGCCGCGUGUGUGAAGAAGGCCUUCGGGUUGUAAAGCACUUUCAGAGGGGAGGAAGGCGAUAAGGUUAAUAACCUUGUCGAUUGACGUUACCCGCAGAAGAAGCACCGGCUAACUCCGUGCCAGCAGCCGCGGUAAUACGGAGGGUGCAAGCGUUAAUCGGAAUUACUGGGCGUAAAGCGCACGCAGGCGGUCUGUCAAGUCGGAUGUGAAAUCCCCGGGCUUAACCUGGGAACUGCAUUCGAAACUGGCAGGCUAGAGUCUUGUAGAGGGGGGUAGAAUUCCAGGUGUAGCGGUGAAAUGCGUAGAGAUCUGGAGGAAUACCGGUGGCGAAGGCGGCCCCCUGGACAAAGACUGACGCUCAGGUGCGAAAGCGUGGGGAGCAAACAGG